RNAcentral lists this ribosomal RNA (433 nucleotides) under uncultured bacterium. RNAcentral describes it as "partial 16S ribosomal RNA". It matches the Rfam family "Bacterial small subunit ribosomal RNA", at positions 29 to 507 of the family's 1533-position model. The record is from RNAcentral.
AACGAACGCUGGCGGCAUGCCUAACACAUGCAAGUCGAACGAACCCUUCGGGGCUAGUGGCGGACGGGUGCGUAACACGUGGGAACGUGCCCUUAGGUUCGGAAUAACUCAGGGAAAGGGGUGCUAAUACCGAAUGUGGUCUUCGGGGGAAAGAUUUAUCGCCUUUGGAUCGGCCCGCGUUUGAUUAGCUAGUUGGUAGGGUAAAAGCUCACCAAGGCGACGAUCAGUAGCUGGUCUGAGAGGAUGAUCAGCCACAUUGGGACUGAGACACGGCCCAGACUCCUACGGGAGGCAGCAGUGGGGAAUCUUGCACAAUGGGCGAAAGCCUGACGCAGCCAUGCCGCGUGAAUGAUGAAGGUCUUAGGAUUGUAAAGUUCUUUCACCGGGGACGAUAAUGACGGUACCCGGAGAAGAAGCCCCGGCUAACUUCGUG